CUCAACCACAGUUGAGUGAACCAAAGAGGUUCACUGCCAGUGGGAGAUGCACCAUUCUUCAAUUGAGCUUGAAGAGAGGCCAUGCCUCUAUAAAGGGCAGCCAAAAAUAAAGAACAUAAAUUCAAAGGCCUGCCACCCGCCAAUUCGUGCGCUAUAGGUAAAUAACUCAGAGAAGGCUUUAUACUUGGCACGCACAAAACAUUUUUACAAAGCCAAACUAAAAGGAAGGCCACUCGCUCAGUAUGGGUAGGCUCAGCACUCGAAUGAUUGUGGAGGGUCUGCAGGCUUGAAUAAGAAUCGGUGUAGUUUCUACCAAACUUUGGGGCGCCACCAAAAACUAAGAUACCAGGAAAAAUGGUAUCACCCAAAGGUGGCAGAUUCACCAGGGCCCCAACAUCCCUUAAGGUAAUAGACAUGGGGCCAAGAGGGAAAAUAAAAGUGUUAUACUCAGAAGAUCAAAAACUCAAAGCAAUUGAAAAGAGUGCUGAAUCGAAAGUAGGGGGGCGGACAGAGAUUUCCAACAAAUCAGAAAUCCUAGCGCUAUCAAAAAGUGCCUUAGUAGGACCAUGACCCACAAGGCGAGCAUGCCACUUACGAAAAGCUACAUCAGAUUUAGGCCAAGUGCGAAUACCUCUUUCGCGAAGUGGCCCCAGCGGCAGAGAGUUUAGAAAAGGAGGGCCAUGAGUGCAAGGAAACAGCUGACCCACCGCCGCCUGUUCAACUGCCUCUGCAUUGUUGAAGAAAGGACCCAAGUAAAACUCAUUACGUCCAACGUCGGCGGGCGCGAGAAAACUUGGGGUUAUGUAUGGGCGACUCAAAAGUCUCUGAAAGUCAUCAAAACUAAAGGAAUCGCUAGCUUGAGAUUGUGAAGCAGCCAUUGGAGAAAGAACGAAGCUUUUCAGGGUUACGUAGCAAGAAAGCAAAAGAUGAACAGUGAAUCUUGAAAGAGACGCAAAAAAUAUGAGGCGUGGUUUGGUAGCAGUGAAAUGGCGUGUUUGGGGUUUAUAAGGGUUUGCAAAACGACGCACCUUUUCAAGUUAUAGAAGGAAACAAUGAUUGAAAUUAUUGAAAAUUUCGAAUGUUGCUGGAAACACAAAGUGAAUAUGGCAAAAUUCAAUAAUUAUUAUUAAUUCUGCCAUAUUGGGGGGUAAUUGUUGACACAUAAAAAUUCAGCCCAAAUCGAACAGCUCAAGUAGUGAAGCCCAAUUGGAGGAUCCCCAAAUCAGAUAGCCCAAAGAACGAAGCCCAAUCGAACAAAUCAAGAUGAAGGCCCAAAUAAGGAGGCCCAAGAAUGCGAUAACGCCAUCGCCCAAGUUUGCAAGUCGCCCAAAAUCUGAAUGAAUAGAGUGUCAUACGGUCGCCCAGAAUUGUUACUCUAUUCUCGCCCAAACCUUCAAGUCGCCCAAGGUAUUAACAAACAUAACGCGUCGUGGUUAUCGAGAAGUGCAGUUAUCAAAGCAGUUAUUAAAGCAGCCCUAUCACGUUCCACAAUUCAAAGAAUUCAAUCGAAAGUGGUUGAACGAUGAAGGGUAAUGACAGCAGUUAAAAGGCAGUUUUCAUAACAAGGUGGCCAUUACGAAGAAAGUGGGUAGUUAUAGGACGAUCAAACAGUUUUUAAAGUAGUUGAUCACAAAGAGAUCGUCUAUGAAGUAUAAAAGGGAGAAAGGACAUAGAAGCAAAGGACCGAAUCCAAAACUCUCGAACAGAAAACAUGUAAUUUUCAUUUCCUUAGUUUUUAGAUUUAAGCACUUUUCUUUCAGUAACUCGUGUGCUUGCGCCCCUUGGAGGCACGUUGUCUUUCUUUUCCAAUUGUAAAGUUUAUCAUCAAUAAAAGAACACUCCUUUUUGGGAUUUUGUCUCAAGAGGUUUCGUCCCUUACACAAUCGUCUGAUCCUUUUUAAUUGUUAGCGACUAACUCGCGCGAAACAAGUAUGAAAGUUGGAAUGAGGAAGAUAAAACAGAAAUGUAUUUUAAUUUGGACUAGAAUUGUGCCAGAAAUUAACUCUAAGAAUGGAAGGAUUUGGGUAGUGAAAAAGUUUCCAGAAUUUUGAGCGUGAAAUAUGGUAUUGGAUUUGAUUUAUGACUUUGCAUUUUUACUGUUAAAAGAUAGUAUUUUCUGAAAUAAAAAAUAAGAGAAAGUAACAAUGGUAUUAUGAAUUUAAUUAAGGUAAUGCGUGUAAUUUCCACAAAUAAUAAACUGGGGCCCAAAACAAUCAGGGCGAUAACAACUAAAACGGACCCAAAAAUUGGGCCAUACACAAACCUAUCUUGCAAAAUGGAAAUAAAGAAAGAAAAAGCAAAAUGGAGUUUGAGAAAAGAAAUGGGGUCCAAGGUGGACCACAACUCCCCAAAUUCCAUGUACUUGGGCAGUCGUGUUCAACGAAAGGCCUCAUCUUUCUUCAAUAUAUUUUCAAUCUCAUUCUCUAAAAAUCAUUUUUUCUCGAAUUUAUUUUGAAUUCCACAUUCUCUUAAUUACUUUUUAACCACAAC
RNAcentral lists this long non-coding RNA (2490 nucleotides) under Olea europaea subsp. europaea. The record is from RNAcentral. Lineage: Eukaryota; Viridiplantae; Streptophyta; Magnoliopsida; Lamiales; Oleaceae.